UGCUCCUGUCCGUGCUCCUGUCCGUGCUCCUGUCCGUGCUCCUGUUCGAGCUCCUGUUCGAGCUCCUGUCCCCUGUUUGCUUUCCUCUUUAAACCCCCAACCUGACAAGGGGAGAGAUCAACAAGUUUGUAAUUGCAAGACAACGGUGAAGUUGAUAGUAACGCAAGUACUCACUAAAUCUUGCCAGAUGUACGUCGUCAGGAUUUGGGCCUUUUCGUCCUGGAAAAAGAACCAACAUUUGGUAUCUUCCGAGGCAUGCAAACGAGAAGGGCCAGAAUCUGCAGAACAAACACUUGGACCCAGCGAGGGACGGAAGAGAAGUUAGCAGAGCAGCUCAACAGAUUGGUGACGAGGAUAGUCUCCAGCAGACUGGCCACCAUCAG
Acanthopagrus latus (yellowfin seabream) is the source of this 383-nucleotide long non-coding RNA. RefSeq lists it as uncharacterized. The transcript has 3 exons. NCBI's taxonomy places the organism in Eukaryota, Metazoa, Chordata, Actinopteri, Spariformes, Sparidae. The record is from RefSeq and is a predicted model, not a curated record.